AAGCCGCCUGUCUAAGUUCCUUGGAACAGGACGUCAUAAAGGGGGAGAAUCCCGUAUGUGCCAGGAAAUGGCCCCCUAUGAAAAUCUCCUUCGACAAGUCGAGUUGUUUGGGAAUGCAGUUCUAAAUGGGAGGAAAAUUUCUUCUAAAGCUAAAUAUUGGCAAAAGACCGAUAGCGCACAAGAAAAGUGAUCGAAAGAUGAAAAGCACUUUGAAAAGAGAGUUAAAAAGCACGGGAAAUUGUUGAAAGGGAACCGCUUGCAAUCAAACUUGUUUAAACUGUUCGGCCGGUCUUCUGACCGGUUUACUCAGUUUGGACAGGCCACCAUCAUUUUCGGCGGCCGAAUAAAGGUUCUGGAAAUGUGGCCUCCACUUCGGGGGAGGGGUUAUA
This 389-nucleotide ribosomal RNA is filed under the name Aureobasidium pullulans. RNAcentral's name for it is "eukaryotic LSU rRNA". It matches the Rfam family "Eukaryotic large subunit ribosomal RNA", at positions 169 to 564 of the family's 3401-position model. The record is from RNAcentral. Lineage: Eukaryota; Fungi; Ascomycota; Dothideomycetes; Dothideales; Saccotheciaceae.